RNAcentral lists this ribosomal RNA (470 nucleotides) under uncultured bacterium. Its description in RNAcentral is "bacterial SSU rRNA". It matches the Rfam family "Bacterial small subunit ribosomal RNA", at positions 8 to 524 of the family's 1533-position model. The record is from RNAcentral.
AGAGUUUGAUCAUGGCUCAGAACGAACGCUGGCGGCAGGCUUAACACAUGCAAGUCGAACGCACCUUUCGGGGUGAGUGGCAGACGGGUGAGUAACGCGUGGGAACGUGCCCUUCAGUUCGGGAUAACCCAGGGAAACUUGGGCUAAUACUGGAUACGUGCGAGAGCAGAAAGAUUUAUCGCUGAAGGAUCGGCCCGCGUCUGAUUAGCUAGUUGGUGGGGUAAUGGCCCACCAAGGCGACGAUCAGUAGCUGGUCUGAGAGGAUGAUCAGCCACAUUGGGACUGAGACACGGCCCAAACUCCUACGGGAGGCAGCAGUGGGGAAUAUUGGACAAUGGGCGCAAGCCUGAUCCAGCCAUGCCGCGUGAGUGAUGAAGGCCUUAGGGUUGUAAAGCUCUUUCGUCCGGGACGAUAAUGACGGUACCGGAAGAAGAAGCCCCGGCUAACUUCGUGCUAGCCGCCGCGGAAUC